This is a non-coding RNA of Leptonychotes weddellii (Weddell seal), 2216 nucleotides long. The record is from RefSeq and is a predicted model, not a curated record. Lineage: Eukaryota; Metazoa; Chordata; Mammalia; Carnivora; Phocidae.
GGUUUUACAGAGAUCAUUUACCUGUCCUGUGACUUAUUCUGAGAUGAAAAGGACAAAGAAUGGCCAAGACCACACCGCCCCCCAGGGGAGCUGAUGUGUCCACAGACGCCCCGCACACGUGCUCUGUGACUCCCGCAUGCAGUGACUGUCCUAGUGCGGGGUUUCAUGCUUGUGGGGUGAGCAUGGAACAUACAUCACGUCUGUCUUUUGAUCCUUGUGAGGCAAGAGAGCAGUCCUCAGGAGGCUUGCCCACUCGCCCUCUGGGGCAGGAUAAGGGCCGAUCUACAAAGGGCGGGGUGGGGCUCAGCCCUCCAGCCUUUCUCCCAGAGGCACACCCAAGAAUGCUGUCAGACUGCCAUGAGAUCGAGUGAAACGUCACUCCAAGUGUGCAAAGGUGACAGUCACAAAGACUACAGAGCUGUGACCUGACCUCACUUCAUACGUGCUGUCCACCCCGUAAUCACUGUGCUUCGGGGGUGUGCCCCAGGAAGCGGGGACGCGUGGUAGGCCUCCUGUUCGCUGAGCCUUUCUGGCAUCGGGUGUAAAAUCACGGCCCGUGUGUCCCUCUAUCCUGCCUUCCGCGGUGUGUGCAAGAGGUAAGAUGAAGUCACACAUCCUUUUCUGUAUCGAUUUGACAGCUCGCCAGUGACUCCCAUUAAAAAGGAUUCGAAAUAGAGUUUUUCAGUGUUGCAAGAUGAGAGAGUUCUGGAGACGUGUUGCACAGCAUGGUCGAUCCUUCAUCCCUUGGAAUCAGGCGACAGAAACAAGUGGAGUCCCAACGGCCUCCCAACCUGGCUCCGGGGACCACUGUCUCUGGGGGUGAACACCCCAGGCCCCUGGAGCAUAGCGGCGUCUGGCUAACCUCCCGCUCCUUCCUCCUCCCGCCUUGCGGCACAUAACCCACUCAGCUGGGGCCAAAGUUUCUGGCCUUGGACCUCUGUCUCCCCGCCCUCCUGGGUCACAACCGCUAGUUUACCAAGGGCAUGAACUCUCUCCUGAAUCAACAAGGGGCACUGAGUCAGCAGUCAGCGUGCAGGUGGCCUUCCUGGGCACCCAGCCCUCCCUCCGCCCAGAGCCUGGCUCCACCACCUUGCUGCCUGGGGGUCCCCUCCUCACCCAGCCCCUCAGGGGUCCUCCCCCAGCUCCCAAGUCACAGAAGCCCCGGGGGUGGGGGGGCACAGGGCUGGCCGCCUCACCAGGUCAUCCUUUGACCCACCUGCCACUUUCUUCCUCACAAAUGCCCAGCUCCUAUCAUUGGAGCCUUUUGUUCAACCUCCACUACCUCUCUCCUGCAGGGAAACUGAACCCGAAGGGGGGACUCCCCUUGAGGGUGCCACGCACCCCUACCUGUGGGGUUGCAGAACCGAGGGGCUUGGCAAGGUGCUCGGUCAGCUCCACACGCAGUCUUGGGAGCCUUCCCUUUCUCCUGGGCGCUUCCACCACCUUGGAUACUACCCAGAGUUGCUUCCCCAGCUUGGACUCUGUCUCCUGCAAGUAUUUUACGGAGCACCUGCUAUGUGCUGGGUGCUAGGCUAGGCAGUGCUGCAGGGUGCUGGCGAGAGGGAGGGGGCUGGACUGUGGAUUGGGUGAUAGCUUUCUGUUUAUGUGGACUUUCCUGAUUUUGGUCAUUGCGUUGUGGUUGUGUACAAGGGUGUUUUAGUUAGGGAAUACACACUGAAGUAUACAGGACACAAUGUCUGCUCCUUACUCUCAAAUGGUUCAGAGAAAAUACGCAUGUGUGUGUGUAUGUGUCUAUAUGUGUGUGUAGGUUGCAUGCGUAUAGAUGUGCAUAUGUGUGCAUGCACGUGCAUGCACACGCGUGUAUGUGUAUGUGGGUGGAAAGAGACAGAGCAAUGACAUAGCAAACAAAGUGUGAACGAGUGAAUCUGGGUAUAGGGUAUAUGGGAGUUCCUUGUACUAGUCUUGCAAGUUUUCAGCAAAUUUGAAUUAUUCUAAAAUACGGAGUUACCAAAAAUAUACGAACUUAAACAGCAGUACAGCAAAUUAUAAAAACCAGACAAUCCCCAUCAAAUAUGUUAAAGGGAUUGCCUGCAGGAAGGAAGGGGUACAGGUGGAAAAGGGAUAAAAAUGGGGGCACUAAAUGAAAGAAAGGAAUAGAGAGAGGGACAGAGGGAGAGAAGGACAGAGGAAAGGAAGAAAGAGGAAUAGGAGGGGGGAAGGGAUAAAGGGAAGAAGGUAGAAGGAAGGAAGGAAGG